CAACCUCAUCUCUCCCCAACACCACAACUACACCUCUCUCCACAACCUCAUCUCUCCCCAUCACAACUACACCUCUCUCCACAACCUCAUCUCCCCCCAACACAACUACACCUCUCUCCACAACCUCAUCUCCCUCCAACACCAAAAUGACACAUCCUUCAACAGUUACACCUCCCCUGACUAAUUCAUCUCCUCUCUCAACUACAUCUAACCCCACAACUGCAACUACACCUUCCCUUACAUCUCCCUCCACAAACACAUUUCCCCUCACUACUACAUCUAAUCCCACAGCCACAACUACAUCUCCCCCCACAACCUCGUCUGUAUCCACAUUCCCAUCUCCCCCCAGCACUACAACUGCACCUUUCUCCACAAUCACAUCUCCCUCCAUAACCACAGCUACGCCUCCCUCAAGAACUUCACCUACAACCACAACUACACUUCCUCCUACAACCCUAUCUUCCCCCAAAACCACAGCUACACCUCCCCUCACAAUCUUUUUUCCCCCCACAAGCUCAUCUCUCUCCACAACCUCAUCUUCCCCCACAAUCACAACUAUACCUCCUUCAACAGUUAUACCUCCCCUGACUAACGUAUCUCCCCUCACAUCUACAUCUAACCCCACAACCACAACUACACCUCCCCUCACAACCCCAUCUCUCUCCACAACCCCAUCUCUCUCCAUAACCACAACUAUGCCUUCCUCCAGAACGUCUUCUUUCUCAACAACCACAACUACAUUUCCUGCCACAAACCUGUCUUCCCCCACAACCACAACUACACAUCCCUCCACAACCUCAUCUAACCCCAAAACCACAGCUACACCUUCCUCCACAACUAUACAUUCCCUCACAACCUCUUCAUUUCUCAUGACCUCAGCAACUGUGAACAACAAUGAAACAACAGCAUCUGCAAGAGGUCAAUGUGAUGGCUAUAAGUGUUGUCCUGGCCAGAACAAUUCAUGUGUACAGUCCAAGUGCUGUCCAGCAAAACGCUGCUAUUGCGAUGAAGCAUGCAUUCAUUUUUCAGACUGCUGCCAGGACUAUGUUCCUACAUGUAAACCAGGUAAUUCAGUGUUAAAGAAUUUUAGACAUGUGAUCAUCUCGUUUAACAAGAAAACAUAACAUAUUAUAUGAAGAAAAUCUGUGAGUUGGGUUAUUUAGAUUGGGUGAGUUAACUGUAUACUCCAAUAUCUAUGUAAAAUGGUAACAGAUAUCUAAUUAUUUAGCAAUCAAGAUCAAAGAAAUGGAGGGUUAACACAAUUAUGAAUUAUAUCACAUAUCUAAACUUCUUGCUAAAAAAGAAAAGGCCAUUUAUAAUACUGUUUCUACAGGACAUUAGAGAUUUUGUUGAAUGGUUUUGUUUUUUUAACAGAAAAGAAGUAAUGCAUUCUAGGAUCUCGUCCCAAAGUUACACCAAAGUACUGACCUACAGUAUAGCCACUAGAUGUCAGCCUCUGUGUUUAAAAUGCU
Molecule: long non-coding RNA, 1472 nt
Filed under: Lepisosteus oculatus (spotted gar)
Lineage: Eukaryota; Metazoa; Chordata; Actinopteri; Semionotiformes; Lepisosteidae
Description: lncRNA (ENSLOCG00000023155.1)
Source: RNAcentral